GAUGAACGCUGGCGGCGUGCCUAAUACAUGCAAGUCGAGCGAAGCGGGGACGGGUGAGUAACACGUGGAUAACCUCCUAUAAGACUGGGAUAACUUCGGGAAACCGGAGCUAAACCGGAUACUUAUAGAUGGAUCCGCGCUGCAUUAGCUAGUUGGUAAGGUAACGGCUUACCAAGGCAACGAUGCAUAGCCGACCUGAGAGGGGGAUCCGCCAAACUGGAACCGAGACAAGGGCCAAGAUCCUAAGGGGGGCAGCCGUAGGGAAUCUUUCGCAAUGGGGGGAAGCCUGACGGGGGCACGGCGCGGUGGUGAAGAAGGGCUUCCGUACGGAAAACUCUUGUAUUAGGGAAGCGGUACCUAAUCAGAAAGCCACGGCUAACUACGUGCCAGCAGCCGCGGUAAUUC
Molecule: ribosomal RNA, 405 nt
Filed under: uncultured bacterium
Lineage: Bacteria
Description: partial 16S ribosomal RNA
Rfam family: Bacterial small subunit ribosomal RNA
Source: RNAcentral